UACAGAGGGGGCAAGCGUUGUUCGGAAUUACUGGGCGUAAAGGGCGCGUAGGCGGCCCGCUAAGUCGAACGUGAAAUCCCCGGGCUCAACCCGGGAACUGCGUCCGAUACUGGUGGGCUCGAAUCCGGGAGAGGGAUGCGGAAUUCCAGGUGUAGCGGUGAAAUGCGUAGAUAUCUGGAGGAACACCGGUGGCGAAGGCGGCAUCCUGGACCGGUAUUGACGCUGAGGCGCGAAAGCCAGGGGAGCAAACAGG
Molecule: ribosomal RNA, 253 nt
Filed under: uncultured bacterium
Lineage: Bacteria
Description: partial 16S ribosomal RNA
Rfam family: Bacterial small subunit ribosomal RNA
Source: RNAcentral